Molecule: long non-coding RNA, 245 nt
Filed under: Hordeum vulgare
Lineage: Eukaryota; Viridiplantae; Streptophyta; Magnoliopsida; Poales; Poaceae
Description: long non-coding RNA (HVUL_LNC003012)
Source: RNAcentral
AAAGUCUCGGGUCACGCAGCGACUCGUUUCAUCGACUCACAACGCAGCUUUGUCUGCUAUGACGUUUCUUUGGUUCUAGGCAAGUUGGUGUCCCCUUUCUAUCCGUCAAAAGCUUCGGCCAAGAUGACGUACGGCGGCGACGGUUGGUUGUUUUGCAUUUAGGUCUUUCAAAUUUAUAGCUUUAUUUAUCGUGGGGUCCUUUCUGCAAGGUGUUGUGCCAAUGAUCUUGUGAUUGUCUCUAGAUC